RNAcentral lists this ribosomal RNA (253 nucleotides) under uncultured bacterium. RNAcentral describes it as "partial 16S ribosomal RNA". It matches the Rfam family "Bacterial small subunit ribosomal RNA", at positions 524 to 776 of the family's 1533-position model. The record is from RNAcentral.
UACGUAGGGGGCAAGCGUUGUCCGGAUUUAUUGGGCGUAAAGAGCGUGUAGGCGGCUGGGUAGGUCCGUUGUGAAAACUCGAGGCUCGACCUCGAGACGCCGAUGGAAACCCCCCAGCUAGAGUCCGGAAGAGGAGAGUGGAAUUCCUGGUGUAGCGGUGAAAUGCGCAGAUAUCAGGAAGAACACCCGUGGCUAAGGCGGCUCUCUAGUACGGUACUGACGCUGAGACGCGAAAGCGUGGGGAGCGAACAGG